GAUGAACGCUGACGGCGUGCCUAAUACAUGCAAGUCGAGCGAACAGACGAGGAGCUUGCUCCUCUGACGUUAGCGGCGGACGGGUGAGUAACACGUGGAUAACCUACCUAUAAGACUGGGAUAACUUCGGGAAACCGGAGCUAAUACUGGAUAAUAUAUUGAACCGCAUGGUUCAAUAGUGAAAGACGGUUUUGCUGUCACUUAUAGAUGGAUCCGCGCCGCAUUAGCUAGUUGGUAAGGUAACGGCUUACCAAGGCAACGAUGCGUAGCCGACCUGAGAGGGUGAUCGGCCACACUGGAACUGAGACACGGUCCAGACUCCUACGGGAGGCAGCAGUAGGGAAUCUUCCGCAAUGGGCGAAAGCCUGACGGAGCAACGCCGCGUGAGUGAUGAAGGUCUUCGGAUCGUAAAACUCUGUUAUUAGGGAAGAACAAAUGUGUAAGUAACUAUGCACGUCUUGACGGUACCUAAUCAGAAAGCCACGGCUAACUACGUG
RNAcentral lists this ribosomal RNA (497 nucleotides) under uncultured bacterium. Its description in RNAcentral is "partial 16S ribosomal RNA". It matches the Rfam family "Bacterial small subunit ribosomal RNA", at positions 28 to 507 of the family's 1533-position model. The record is from RNAcentral.